RNAcentral lists this ribosomal RNA (500 nucleotides) under uncultured bacterium. RNAcentral's name for it is "partial 16S ribosomal RNA". It matches the Rfam family "Bacterial small subunit ribosomal RNA", at positions 29 to 523 of the family's 1533-position model. The record is from RNAcentral.
AUUGAACGCUGGCGGCAUGCCUUACACAUGCAAGUCGAACGGCAGCGCGGGAGCAAUCCUGGCGGCGAGUGGCGAACGGGUGAGUAAUAUAUCGGAACGUGCCCAGUAGUGGGGGAUAGCCCGGCGAAAGCCGGAUUAAUACCGCAUACGACCUACGGGUGAAAGGGGGGGAUCGGAAGACCUCGCGCUAUUGGCGCGGCAGAUAUCAGAUUAGGUAGUUGGUGGGGUAAAGGCCCACCAAGCCUGCGAUCUGUAGUUGGUCUGAGAGGACGACCAGCCACACUGGGACUGAGACACGGCCCAGACUCCUACGGGAGGCAGCAGUGGGGAAUUUUGGACAAUGGGGGCAACCCUGAUCCAGCAAUGCCGCGUGCAGGAAGAAGGCCUUCGGGUUGUAAACUGCUUUUGUCAGGGAAGAAAUCUUCUGGGUUAAUACCUCGGGAGGAUGACGGUACCUGAAGAAUAAGCACCGGCUAACUACGUGCCAGCAGCCGCCGUAA